Cyprinodon tularosa is the source of this 2432-nucleotide long non-coding RNA. RefSeq lists it as uncharacterized. The transcript is spliced from 10 exons. The record is from RefSeq and is a predicted model, not a curated record. Lineage: Eukaryota; Metazoa; Chordata; Actinopteri; Cyprinodontiformes; Cyprinodontidae.
AAAAAAACACACAUUUUGAACAUAGCGGUAGUAGGAGCAAUUGUCUGGACCAGUUCUUGAAUUUGAAAUGGAUCCCAGGAAACUCCAGGAAAUCCUGGACCUUAAAAUUCAUAACAGGUACCCAGAAGGGGCAACCAGCAAACAGCGGUACAUCAUCAGACGACGAUCAUCUACCUUUGUUUUGCAAGAUGGGGAACUGCAUUACAUAUGCAGGAGGAAAUCCAAUAAAGAGGAACAUCUGGCGAAGCUUGUUACAACAGCCGAGGAGGCAAACAGCAUCUUCAUAGAAUUUCAUGCCAGUGAAUUAGGUGGACACUGUGGGUGGGAAAGAACCCACUGUUCCAUUGCCAGCCACUAUUACUGGCCUGGUAUAGAAAGGGACAUCCAACAAUGGGUUGCUCAGUGUCCUCAAUGCCAAAAGAAAAGGGCAACGAUCAAAGAAAAGUCUGAAUACAGUCCCAUAGAGGUAGGAAGAAUCAGAACUGAGGCAGAUGUGAAAUGUGUAUGUACUUGAAGUGAAGAAUAUACAAUUUAUCUCCUAAACAGGUGACCAAGCCAUUGGAACUGGUGGGCAUGGAUCUAGUGGGGAAACUCACAGCAACUAAUGGUGGUAAUCAGUACAUUUGUGUAAUCACUGAUUAUUUCACCAAAUGGGCAGAGGCCUACCCACUAAAAACAAAAUCAGCAGCUGAGGUCACCAGUUGUAUACUUGAUUUUAUUUUUACAAAUUUGGUGCACCUCAAAGGCUGCUUACAGACCAGGGCACAGAAUUUCUCAACAAGGUGAACUAUGGUUUGUGUGAGAAAUUAAAUAUCAAAAGAAGUUUGUGCUCGCCAUAUCACCCACAAACCAAUGGGCUAGUGGAGAACCUAAAUGGGACAAUUCAAAGGUCCUUGAACAAAUUGGUUGCAGACCAUCCCCAGAGAUGGGAUGAGGUGCUGCAACCAACAAUGUUUGCCCUGCGGACCAAACGACAUUUUACCACCAAACAUUCCCCAUAUUAUUUGAUGUUUGGCAGGGAGGCCAGGUAUCCGUCACAGAUACCAACACAAUAUGAGAUCACUGAUCAAAAGGUGGAGAGGCUAAUUUCACAGGAGGUUGUGAGCCGAGGCCUUUCUGAUCAGGAAAAAACAUACCGGGAAGUGUCCGCAAAUAUUCAAAGGAGUCAUGAAAAGGUUAGGCAGAGGAAAAGGCAACGGGGUGAGGAGGACAACUUUAAGGUGGGUGACAAAGUUCUUCUAAAGAACAUCAGGCAGGAGCAAAGGAAGGGGGGGGAAUGGAGGCUGACAUGUUGGAUCCCCUGAUGAUCACCAAAAUAGAGGGCAAGAGUGCAGACCUUGUAUCGGAAAAGGGGAAAGCAAAGAUCAAAAUUAAUGUCGAUCAUUUAAAACCGUAUAUAGUUCAGAAGCAAAGGAUACCCUCAAAAAUGAGGGUAUUUGAAAGGUAUUUGGGCAGGUCGUCAUCGCAGUAAAAUCUGGAGUCGGAUUGGGCCAUAUAAACUAUUCUCCGACAACAUCAUGGACCUGGCACCGGGGAAGGAGUUGGAGAGUGAGGUGAUCAAUGCAUACCUGUCGUUACUGGGUCGGCAGACUGGGGCAUUGAUAAUAGAUUCUUAUCUCAUGACCUCAGAGUGGCAGGGGGCUGUGAAAGGUCGUAAGAAGGCAAGUAUCAUUGCAUAGACCAAAGAAUGGUGGAUUCAGAGUUUGUUAAAGUAUUUCUUUUCCAGGUGCCUUUGAUGUCGUACAAUGUAGUGGCAGGGGCAGUUUGUCACAACAACCACUGGAUGCCUAUUGUGAGUACCAAAUGAGUUAUCAAAUGUUGUACCAGAUCUUUCUGACCCACUUUAUACUGGACAGGUUAUUUACUCAAUGGAAAAGAGGGUCGUUUUUGUCGACCCCUUUGGGGCAACUGAAGCGCAAAUCAAUAGGUGCCAGUAGAUGACCAGAGCAUUUGUACGCAAACAAUGCCUGGCCAUUGGGAGAUGGGAAUGCUCCACAGUGCCUCACCCAAGGCAGCAGGACAGUACAUCAUGUGGCGUUCUUGUGUGCGCAAUUGCAGAAUGUAUAUUAAGGGGUCGAGAAGCUGCCUUCCCUGUCCAUGCUGAGGGUGUGUCCAAACUGAGGCUGGAAAUGGCAACGGCUCUGCUGGCAAAGAUGGGUAAACUACUGCAGCCACUGUGUACUUAUAAUGAAUCCAUAUAAUGAAUCCGUACUUAUAAGGAAUCCAUCCUUGCCCUAAUACUUAUGUUUGCAGAUGACCUUUCGGAUUUGUGUUGGGCAUGUGGGGAGUUCAGCUCUGGAGCUGCCACAGAUGACUGGAUUGAAUGCAAUAGCUGCUCUAGAUGGUAUCACUGCGCCUGUGUAGGAUAUCCAUCCACAGUGGGAGAGUAUCACUGCCAGGCCUGUGAGGAAUAAUCCAUCCGCAAAUUUGCA